RNAcentral lists this long non-coding RNA (308 nucleotides) under Nicotiana benthamiana. RNAcentral describes it as "long non-coding RNA (NBEN_LNC022485)". Lineage: Eukaryota; Viridiplantae; Streptophyta; Magnoliopsida; Solanales; Solanaceae. The record is from RNAcentral.
UUUAGUAGCUCCGCCAGUUGGGGUAGUUUAGCCAGCUGUUGCGGCACAGGCCGGUGAUGGUCAUGCCAUGUCUUCUGAGGGCUUAUUGAGAUAGGACAAGUUUACGAAGCUCUUUCCAGAUCACUUCAGUGGAGCAUCUUCUGAGGACCCAUGGGAUUAUCUUGACCGCUUCCAUGAGGUAUUGUGGAACAUGGGUAUAGUUGAGACACUUUAUGCCAAUUUUACUGUGUUUCAGAUGACGGGUUCUGCCAAGCGAUGGUGGAUGGAUUAUGUAUCUACCGGACCAGCUGGGCCUGCUCUUACUUGGG